GCUUAUCAGACGCUGCAGAUUUUAUUGUAAAUCACAUGAUCAGGAAGUGCUGGGAGGUAUUUAUACGAUAUGAAGGCUGAACUAUAGCCUCAGUGACGCUGCAGAGCACCAGGAGCAUGGAUCGGUCUGAAGAUCAGAACACAGAAAGCGCUGCAGGAUCAACAACUGACACCGGUAAAUGGUUCUCAUUUGGUGGUUUUUUUUCUCGGACACCUACCUGGGACACAGUGAAGGUGAAGGUCCACUUCAUAUCCAAACAAGAUACAUUUGGUGCUGCUGAUGCCAUAAAGAAAAAGUUAAAGAGCAACAUGGGGUCAUCACUACAGGAAGAAAAAAGAAGGGAUGAAUGCAACAUGAUUGUUGUUUUCUGUCCAGUCGACCGCAGUGUUGAAUCAGAUGUAAACUCAAUGAUGGAAGCUACAGCAGUUUCACCUUCUGGUAAACCCGUCAUUCUAGUUCUGAUGCAUCACACCAGAGACCCGGACUAUGUCACUGGACCAUAUGACCCUCGUGAAUCGUGGAAAAAUGUUGUGCAUUACGUUUAUGUUCUGUACCAUGAGACUACACUAGGAUUACUGAAUUGUUCUCAAAAUGACCAGGCAAUCAAUGACAUUCAACAAGUCCUACUAAAAAAACAACAGUUUGUUUGAAGUGUGCUUUAUCGGUCUUGUUUAGAAAUGUUUUAGCUCAAUAGUCCAUUUUUUUAUUGCAUUUCUUGACUAAAUACAACAGGAAACAUACACCUACAGAGCUUCUCACCCUAAGCAGGGAAUUUCUAUUCCAACUGUUAAGAAUUGUAUAUAUAUAU
This is a long non-coding RNA of Fundulus heteroclitus (mummichog), 808 nucleotides long. RefSeq lists it as uncharacterized. The transcript has 4 exons. The record is from RefSeq and is a predicted model, not a curated record. Lineage: Eukaryota; Metazoa; Chordata; Actinopteri; Cyprinodontiformes; Fundulidae.